RNAcentral lists this ribosomal RNA (497 nucleotides) under uncultured bacterium. Its description in RNAcentral is "partial 16S ribosomal RNA". It matches the Rfam family "Bacterial small subunit ribosomal RNA", at positions 28 to 507 of the family's 1533-position model. The record is from RNAcentral.
GAUGAACGCUGGCGGCGUGCCUAAUGCAUGCCAGUCGAACGAACAGACGAGGAUCUUCUUCCUCUUACGUUGGCGCCGGACGGGUGAGUACCCUGUGGAUACCCUAUCUAUAAGACUGGAAUACACUCGGGAAACAGGAGCUAAUACCGGAUAAUCUUUUUAACCGCAUGGUUCAACAGUAUAACACGGUUUUCCUGAUUGUUAUUGCUAGCUCCGGGUGGAUUAGUCUAGUUGGUAAGGCUACGCAUUACCAAGGCAACGAUGCGUAGCCGACAGGCGAGGGAGAUCGGCCACACCGGAACGGAGACACGAUCCAGACUCCUACGAGAGGCAGCAGUAUGGAUUCUGCCGCGAUGGGCGAAAACCUGGCGGAGCAACACCGCGUGAGUGAUGAAGGUCUUCGGAUCGUAAAACUCUGUUAUUAGGGAAGAACAAAUGUGUAAGUAACUAUGCACGUCUUGACGGUACCUAAUCAGAAAGCCACGGCUAACUACGUG